AUAAGUCCUGAUUAUACUUCAACAGUUCCAAAGGGUUGCUUGGCAGUAUAUAUUGGGGAGAAGCAAAGAAGAAGAUUUGUGGUUCCCAUUUCAUACCUGAAUGAUCCUGCCUUCCAAGACUUGUUAAAUCAAGCUGAGGAAGAAUUUGGGUUCAGCCAACCAGAAGGCGGCCUCACUAUUCCCUGCUCAGUGGACACAUUCAUUCACCUUGCUUCACACCUGGAUAGAUCAUAGAGAAAAACAUUUAUAUACUGGUAGAUAGUAUGGCAUUGAAAUGUAAAUAGUAGAAUAGAGAUUUUAAUCAGAUUUUUGUUGGCAACGGAUGAUUUGAAGCUCACCAUUUUGUUGAAUUUAACUUUACCAAAAUUUAUCCAUCAUAGUUUCUUCUUAAAAAUCUCUAUUCUACUAUUUAAUAUAAAGAACUAAAAAAUUUGAUUGCCAAAUUAGUAACUUUUUCUUGUAAUAUAUGCACUCGUAAAGCAAAUUAGGGAUUUUGAAAUCUCCUUAUGAUUUGCAUCCAAUGACAUUCGCAUAGAAAAGAAAAUGAUCUGAAGACUGCAGGCUCUUCCUUAGAUUUUAGGCAUCCAGGAGAUUUUCUGAUUACAAUGAGACAGCAAAUUUUCUUCUGUCUUGGCUACCUGCUGCAUGUAAUGACAUAUGAUUCGAACUGUGAAUGUCAAGUCUGGUCAGAGUUAGAAAGUUAAACUUAUCUACCCAGAACCAAUAAAUGAUGUUCUUGAUAAAAACAGCAAAUUUCAGAGGCAAUGAUUGUUGAAUGCAGACAGGUUUACAUAUUAUCCUUUAGGUGGUACUAACAUAAAAUGGAAUGAAACGACAAGCUUAUCAGUGGCUUCGUGGCUUACAUGAAGACUACAAAAAAACCUGCACAACUGAAAUUGUAAGGUUGAGUAUGUCAACUGCUAGAGUGAAUUUGAAUAAACAAGUUCUUCACAUCAAUCCAAAGAGAUCUCGGUAAUCCCAGGAGAGCAAUAUGUAUGAAUAAAUAGAUGCUAAUCAAUUAAGCAAAAUAAAUUCUUCACUGAUAUGUAAAAAUAAUAAUUCUGUGUAAUGAGAUGGUUACUCUAAUCUUCCCUAGGUUAUCAAAUGGAAGCGGAUUGAGUAGUAUACAGUACAAACCAGAACCUUACAAAAUUGUUAGUACCAGAUUAUAGCUACUUGUUUCUUAUAUCUGCGCAAGACUAAACUGAGGUUAACCAAUGUCUUCUCUACACGGAAAAGCCACUUCAAACAAUAAAGACAUAGAAAUUGCUCUUCUUUUGAACAAUUACAUUUGUGAUCGGACCAAUAAUGUAUAAAGCUGCUUAUCUAUAUUUCAAAUAAAAAUGACUACAUACUGAUUGCAGAGAUCAAAUCCAUGUAGAAAUUAAUGAAAUCAAAUUACAAAGUAUCAGCUAAUGUUCUACCUACAAGAUUUAUAUGAGAGCCAUAUAUAAAAUUUCUAGACUAGCUUACAAAAUUUGUACACUGUCUAACAACAUAUAUAUAAACUCUCAUAAUCUGUUCAAGAGAUCAAUGAAGGUGUCUUCUUUGCAUGGAAUUGUGAGGCCACCUUCUGGCUGACUAAACCCAAAUUCUUCCUCUGCUUGACUUAACAGUUCUUGGAACGUAGGCUCGUUUAAGUAAGAAAUCGGAACUACAAAUCUUCUUCUUUGGUUCUCCCCAACAUAAACUGCAAUGCAUCCCUUAGGGACAUUUGUACUACGAUCAAAAUUUUUUAAGGAAAAUUGUCUGUUGAGAAUUUGCUUGAGAUUAGUGAUAUGAGGCACACGAAUACCCAUGAUGCUCAAGAAAAAUUGAAACUUCAACGGAUAAUCUCUGGGGAUAUCGAAAAUACAAGAACUUCUGAAGAUGGAAGGCUUAGACCCUUAAUUACACUUGAUUUUGUGAUGAAAUUGGUUGAGGAUAUCACAGUUUUUAUAUAGAAAUGACAAGUAAUGAGUGGUUGAUUUAAAUGCAGAUUGAGUGGCACAGAUGCAUUAGGCAAUAGCACAUGCUAUUCUCUUUCAAAGGCCACACAUAUUUAAGAGUAAUGUCUGUUGAGAGACGUCAAUUCCUACUGCUUCUGUUCAACAAAUCUGGACCUGAUAUAUUCUCAUGUCCUACUGAUAGUGUAGAUAAGACAGAAUAUAACAUAAAAUAUACGGAUAUGAACAAGAUACAGAUAAUUUGGCUGGAAAGUCCUCACUUUGCCUGGAAACCAAGGUAGCAAAUUUUAUGUUGUUAGUUUUUGUGGUCAGUAGUUGUGGGUGGGACAGACAAGUUAGGUACUCAUGUGAUAGUGUUUUCAUUCACCUAGCCUAGCUGUUUAUUUUGUGUAGUAGGAAACACCUGAUACAAGUUGUUAUAUCCAUGAAAGAAAGGGCAAAUUUAUGUAAGAAAUAGAUGACUGUUAGGAUUUUGUGUGUUAGGAUUAUAAGUUUUUAUAUGUUUAUAUUCACAAAACAAAAAGUAAAUAAAAAUAGACGGGUGCUGGUCCCCAGCAUAUGGUUGCUGGGGAGGGUUUAAACAACAUACAGCUCCUGAACUGUUGGAUCAGAUGAGGGACGGCUGAGAUAAAAAAAAAAAUGUUCUCGUCCAGCGCUUAAAAACCGCUGAACGGUACACGUAGAAUUUUUUUAUUUUUUUUGUGUCCAGCGCCUAAGAAGCGCUGGAAGCACAGGCAAAUUUCAUGUGCGGCUCUGGAGCCUGUUAUCAAGUUCUCAAAAGGUUUAUUAGCCUUGUUCAUUGAAAAUAGCUCUCAUUCUUGUUAUCAUUUUUUCUAGAAGAUCUUGACAAGCCAAAUGAAUAUAUAUCUUCUGUCUGGGCCUUGGUGCCUCCGGUAACUCCCAAGCCAGGCCCCUGAUUCACCAGAAUUUUAUUAGGAGAUAAUUCCAAAGAUGUGAAGGGUUCUCGAUUUGCAAAAUUCAUAGCUGAAAGACAGAAAAUGCUAAAGAAGAUUUCUGACAGAUAAAUUAGAUAGCUCUUUUAUCAAAUUUCUUCCCAGCAAGUUGUGACAGUUGCCCAAUUCCAGUAUAAAUUAGGAAGAGAACUGCCACCAACUGGAAAUAUACUUUGAAGAUCCACUAGAAGCCAUGAAAAAAUAUAUCACCACAUCUGCUUCUGCUGCAGAAGAAUGAGAGCUAUUUUUAAGAUAAAUGAGGCUAUUAACCUUUUGAGAACUUGAUAAUAGGCUCCAGAGCUGCACAUGGAAUGCGGAAUUUCAGAUGUUGUAUAAGCAUCCCUCCAUCAUGCCUUGUAUUGCUGCAUCAACAUUAAUUUAUAUCUUCUCUGGUUGCCUGUGCUUCCAGUGCGUUUUAAGCGCCGGACACAAAAAAAUAUCCUCUCGUCCAGUGCUUAAAAACCGCUGGAUGUGUACCAUUCAGUGUACACAUCCAGCGGUUUUAAAACGCUAGACGAGAACAUUUUUUCUUCUGAUCUCAGCCGUCCCUCGCUAUAUCCAACGGUCCAGAAACCGUAUGUUGUUUAAACUCUCCCCAACAAUCAUAUACUGGGGACCAACACCCAAAACAGAUUGUUGAAAUAUAGCAUAAGGUCCAUUCUAGGCCUUCCUCUAACACUUUAAGGUUUCAGAUGGAUUGUUUUUCAACAUGGUAUCAGCCAUCAGGGCUCUGAUUUGGCGGAGGUCUCAAAUGUCCACGUAGGCAUUAAUUACCCCAAAGAUGGGCGCCCGUGAUUCCCUCUUUAACCCAAAAAUGGGACUCCAGACCGCGUCUUCACUAAUUCCUUGAGAGCCGUCAUUUUGGCUCACAACUUCACCACUUCUGAUGAAUGACCUUUACUUGAGCAAUCCUCCUUCAAUUCCUCAUGCUCCGACCAAUCAUCUGCAGAUGCUUUCUUCUUGCGUCGAAACGAGCUAUACGAGCCAACCGAAUCCUCCCUUCUAGAGCGUUCACUAUACGCUGAACCUCGAAAGGAGGAUUCGUAAUCCUCUGUUGGAUACUCGGAUGAAGCAACAUGCUCAUCCUUCUUUUUCGCAAAUUCCUCUUCCCAUUUCUCAGCCUCACGCCUCUGCUUCAUCUGAAACUCUAUCCGUCUCCGCUCGCGGUCAAGGGUGUCAAGUUCGCUCUUGAUCGCUUCACGGUUCAACUGCUCCUUAUCUUCAACAGCCAAUCUUUUGGCCUUAAGCUUCUCUAAAUGCAAUCUCGCAUCACCAGAAUGUGCCUUUUUACCUUGCGGCGUCACUGCCAGUGUGCGUGUACGGCGACGUCGCCUACUACCACCUCCGGUAGGAUCCGAAUAAGCCGGACCACCGCGAGAUUCACCUGCUCUAGUUUCGAACAGCUUUUUGUGUUUUAGUGUCUAUCUCCUUAGUUACUAUCACCUCUCGUGUUUCCAGAACUUGUAUCGUCUCCCUCGCUUCAUCUGCCAUGGUAGAUCUGCCCCCUCCUUCUAGCGCCAAAUGCUGAUCUGCCCUCUCCUUCUAGCGCCAAAUGCUGGAACAGUGUAUGUAUGUUUAUUACAGAGUGUAUGUAUCUAUUCUAUUCUCAGAUUCCAACCCUGUGUUAGCUGCUCUGUUUAUAUAGCACUCUGGCACGUGACUUCCUCAUGCUUGCUGUUUGGGCUUAUUCUUCUUUGGGCUGCCUCUCACUCUGGGCCAAGGCCCAACAACUUCAACAGUUCCAAAGGGUUACUUGGCAGUAUAUAUUGGGGAGAAGCAAAGAAAAAGAUUUGUGGUUUCCAUUUCAUACCUGAAUGAUCCUGCCUUCCAAGACUUGUUAAAUCAAGCUGAGGAAGAAUUCAUUCAUUCACCAUUCAUUCACUAUUCCCUGCUCAGUGGAAACAUUCAUUCACCUUACUUCACGCCUGGAUAGAUUAUAGUGAGAAAACAUUUAUGUACAGGUAGAUAGUACAACACUGAAAUGUAUAUAGUAGAAUAGGGAUUUUGAUCAGAUUUUUGUUGGCAACGGAUAAUUUGAUACUCACCAUUUUGUUGAAUUUAACAUCACCAGAAUUUAUCGAUCAUAGUUACUUCUUAUAAAUCUGGAUUAAUAUAAAGAAAAAAAAAACUUGAUUCCCAAAUUAGUAACUUUUUCAUGUAAUAUAUGCACUCCUAAAGCAAAUUCUACAUAGGAAGGGAUUUUGAAGUCUCCUUAUGAUUUGCAUAGAAGGGAAGUGGAUUUGGUGUAUGUUUGUACCCAGAUUUUACAGGCGUCAGGACACGACGUGAACUGCACUGACACGACGGGAAGUACUGGCGACAAGACAUGUAGUGGCAGAUGGAUAAGCAUGAAGACUGGGUCUUAACAAACCCACCUUUUUAGGGGGAGAAUUCAAAUGGAAGUUAGAGAGGUGCCAGGAAUAUAGGAGGAAGUUACAUGCACGUGGGAGUUAAGUGGAGAGAAAAUAGGAGUUGCAUAUGGGAUAGGACUCUUGGAAGACAAGUAUAUAUACGGAGGGCACAUUACACUACUUCUAGGUUAUCUCUACAUGCUGCAUAAUAGACUCUGAGUUAUCUUCUACUCAUUACAUUGUAGUGCAACUCUAAGAGAUUAUCAUCAAGAGACUUCUACACGCCUACAACUUCUUCUUCUACCUAAUACCAUUAUUUUUCUUACGCAUAAACCCCAAACCAAGCCCAAGAUAUACAAAUUGAUACACACACAUAUAUACAUAUAUUAACAUACAAGGAUUUCUCUUCUUCAACUUAUAUCAGCUGAGUUACACAUCUUCAUCUCCCUCAAAUCAUUCUGCCGACGGGUACAUAGAGGUGUCGACGGGUGCACACUGCUGUUGGACGGGUGCAUGCUGCUGUCGGACAUGAACUACUUCUGAAGCCGACGUCUGCGUAUUUUUGUACUUGUAUCUUGCUUUUAUCAUACUUGUAAGCUGAUGUUACAUCAUUAUAGUGGAUAUUUGGCUGGGACAUUCCCACCCGCGGUUUUUAACCUUUUACAAGGGGUUUUCCGCGUCACCAAAAUUGUUUGUGUUCUUGUCUUUUGCUCUCUAUUCGAUAUUCAUCUAUUUGAUCUACUAAACAUUCAUACAUUAAACACUUACUCCAUUGUUAUAGAAAUUAAAUAGGCUUGGCUUUUAACCCCGCAAAUUUUGGUAAAAACAGGUGUUUGACUGGUUGCUCGUUCUGGACUUGAUUCAUAUUGACAGCAGCAUAUCUAUGGGCUGAGAAUACACUGGUUCUAGUUGGUGACUUUAAAAUUCAGUAAUAUGAAAUAUAAUUUUCAUAUGGUGUUAGAAGUUGAGUUUUAGCAUACAUGUUUGAAAAGAGACCAUGCAACUAUUAAAUUGAUCGAGAGAAAUUAUUACACGCCACAAAGGUUUCCUUUAGGAAUCUUAAGUAUCCAAGACUGCAGGCUGUUCCUUCGAUUUUAGGCAUCUAGAAGAUUUUCUGAUUACAAUGAGACAGCAGAUUUUCUUGUGUCUUGGCUACCUGCUGCAUGUAAUUAUAUAUGAUUUAAACUGUGAUGUCAAGUCUGGUCAGAGUUGAAAAGUUAAACUUAUCUACCCAGAACAAUUAAAUGAUGUUCUUGAUAAAAACAGCAAAUUUCAGAUGCAAUGAUUGAGGAACGAAGACAGGUUUACAUAUUAUCUUGUAGGUACUAAAAUGAAAAAAAAGGGAAUGAAACGUCUGGCUUACAUGAAGACUACAAAAAAACCUGCACAACUGAAAUUGGAGGGUGAGUCUGUCAGCUAUUAGAGUGAAAUUGAAUAAACAUGUUAUUUGCAUCCAUCCAAAGAGUUCUCGGUAAUUCCAGGAUAGCAAUAUGUAUGAAUGAAUAGAUACUUAUUAACUAAGCAAAAGAAAUUCUUCACUGAUGAUUUCUAAAAAAACAUAUUUCUGUGUAAUGAGAUGGUUACUUUGAUCUUCCCUAGGUUACCAGAUGGAAGUGGAUUGACUAGUAUACAUUACAAACUGGAACCUUGCAAAAUUGUUAGUACCAGAUAAUAGCUAUUUCAAAUAAAAAAGUACUUACAAAGAUAUAUAAUACCUAAAAGAUUAAAGAUUGCAGAGAUCAAAUCCAUGUAGAAAUUAAUGUGAUCAAAUUACAAUUAAAGUAUCAGCUAUUGCUCUACCUAAAAGAUUUAUAUGGGAGUCAUAUAUAAAAUUUCUGGACUAGUUUACAAAAUUUGUACACUAUCUAACAACAUAUAUAUAAACUCUCAUAAUCUGUUCAACAGAUCAAUGAAGGUGUCUUCUUUGCAUGGAAUUGUCAGGCCUCCUUCAGGAUGACUAAACCCAAAUUCUUCCUCAGCUUGACUUAACAGGUCUUGGAAUGUGGGCUCGUUUAAGUAAGAGAUCGGAACUACAAAUCUUCUUCUUUUGUUCUCCCCAACAUAAACUGCAAUACAUCCUUUAGGGACAUUUGUACUACGAUCAAGAUUCUUUAAGGAAAAUUGUCUGUUGAGAAUUUGCUUGAGAUUAGUGAUAUGAGGCACACGAACACCCAUGAUGCUCAAGAAAAAUUGAAACUUCAAAGGAUAAUCUUCGGGGAUUAUGGAGAAUACAAGAACUUCUGCAGAUGGUAGGCUUAGACCCUCAAUUAGACUUGAUUUUGUGAUGAAUUUGGUUGAGGAUAUCACAGUUUUUAUAUGGAAAUAGCAAGUAAUGAGCGGUUGAUCAAAAUGCAGAUUGAGUGGAACAGAUGCAUUAGGCAAUAGCACAUGCUAUUCUCUUUCAAAGGCCACACAUAUUUAAGAGUAAUGCUAGGACUUGAAUGUCUGUUGAGAGACAUCAUGUCCUACAAAUCUGGACCUUAUAUUUUGUCAUUUAAAUUUAGGUUUUAUGCGUAUAGUGGAGUUAAGACAGAAUAUAACACAAUAUAUACGGAUAUGAACAAGGUACAAAAAAUUUGGGUGGAAAGUCCUCACUUUGCCUGGCAAGCAAGGUAGCAAAUUUUAAGUUCUUAGUUUUUGUGGUCAGUAUUUCUGGGUGGGACAGACAAGUUAGGUACUCAUGUGAUAGUGUUUUCAUUCACCUAUCCUAGCUGUUUAUUUUGUGUAGUAGGAAACACCUGAUACAAGUUGUUAUAUCCAUGAAAGAAAGGGCAGAUUUAUGUAAGAAACAGAUUAUCAGACUUACUACACAACUUUCUGAUUGUUCUAUAUAAACACAUAAUUAAGCUCACUGGUCUAAAGUCUUUUCCAUAAAACUAUACAAGUCCUAGUGUUUAUCCAGUUUCCUGAACUCUUCUCUGAAAGAUCUUUGGUGUCAUGGGUAUCCGUAUGCCUCCUAUUACCAAUCUCAAACAAAUCCUUAUCCGCUCAUCUUACUCUUUAAAUCUCUGGGGAUAUGGAAACUUCUGCAGGUGGAAGGCUUAGACCCUUAAUUACACUUGAUUUUGUGAUGAAUUUGGCAGAGGAUAUCACAGUUUUUAUAUAUUCAUUUAAAGAGAUAUAUUCAUACAUUCACCUGAAUUAAGCUAAAAUUUUGUAAUUUCCCUGAAAAGCCUUCCAAUCUAAUAAAAAUUAAAAUAGAUACCUUAUAUACAAAUUUUAUAANCACCCAUGAUGCUCAAGAAAAAUUGAAACUUCAAAGGAUAAUCUUCGGGGAUUAUGGAGAAUACAAGAACUUCUGCAGAUGGUAGGCUUAGACCCUCAAUUAGACUUGAUUUUGUGAUGAAUUUGGUUGAGGAUAUCACAGUUUUUAUAUGGAAAUAGCAAGUAAUGAGCGGUUGAUCAAAAUGCAGAUUGAGUGGAACAGAUGCAUUAGGCAAUAGCACAUGCUAUUCUCUUUCAAAGGCCACACAUAUUUAAGAGUAAUGCUAGGACUUGAAUGUCUGUUGAGAGACAUCAUGUCCUACAAAUCUGGACCUUAUAUUUUGUCAUUUAAAUUUAGGUUUUAUGCGUAUAGUGGAGUUAAGACAGAAUAUAACACAAUAUAUACGGAUAUGAACAAGGUACAAAAAAUUUGGGUGGAAAGUCCUCACUUUGCCUGGCAAGCAAGGUAGCAAAUUUUAAGUUCUUAGUUUUUGUGGUCAGUAUUUCUGGGUGGGACAGACAAGUUAGGUACUCAUGUGAUAGUGUUUUCAUUCACCUAUCCUAGCUGUUUAUUUUGUGUAGUAGGAAACACCUGAUACAAGUUGUUAUAUCCAUGAAAGAAAGGGCAGAUUUAUGUAAGAAACAGAUUAUCAGACUUACUACACAACUUUCUGAUUGUUCUAUAUAAACACAUAAUUAAGCUCACUGGUCUAAAGUCUUUUCCAUAAAACUAUACAAGUCCUAGUGUUUAUCCAGUUUCCUGAACUCUUCUCUGAAAGAUCUUUGGUGUCAUGGGUAUCCGUAUGCCUCCUAUUACCAAUCUCAAACAAAUCCUUAUCCGCUCAUCUUACUCUUUAAAUCUCUGGGGAUAUGGAAACUUCUGCAGGUGGAAGGCUUAGACCCUUAAUUACACUUGAUUUUGUGAUGAAUUUGGCAGAGGAUAUCACAGUUUUUAUAUAUUCAUUUAAAGAGAUAUAUUCAUACAUUCACCUGAAUUAAGCUAAAAUUUUGUAAUUUCCCUGAAAAGCCUUCCAAUCUAAUAAAAAUUAAAAUAGAUACCUUAUAUACAAAUUUUAUAAGAAGUUAACAGAAACUACCCUAAAAAUUUCACAUUCUACCUCAGAGAUCAGGGAAGUCAAGUUUUAAGGUGUUUUUCGUUAACAGACUGAGACUGGUAUUUUUACGGACAAAUAGAAUUUGCUAACUAAACGUAUUUGAGAUAAGAACCGAUUACAAAAAAUCUACAAGAACGAAUAAUUUCAUGUAUUCUUGAUGCCUAAAAGAUUUUCAUGGAAAGUCUCAGUCAAAUAUAAAAUGUCUGGACUAGUUCACAAAAUUUGUAAACUAUCUAACAACAUUUCAGUAAGUAUGUAUCUGUACAGAUAUAUAUAAGCUCUCAUAAUAUGUUCAAGAGAUCAAUGAAGGUGUCUUCCUUGAAUGGAAUUGUGAGGCCACCUUCUGGAUGACUAAACCCAAAUUCUUCCUCUGCUUGACUUAAAAGGUCUUGAAAUGAAGGCUCAUUUAAGUAAGAGAUCGGAACUACAAAUCUUCUUCUUUGGUUCUCCCCAACAUAAACUGCCAUGCAUCCCUUAGGGACAUUUGUACUACGAUCAAGAUUUGUUGAGGUGAAUUGGCGGUUGAGAAUUUGCUUAAGACUAGUGAUACGAGGAACAUGAAUACCCAUGAUGCUAAAAUCAAAAAUUUGUAGUAUUCAGGAUAAACUCUGCUGAUAUUAAAAUACAAGGACUUUUGCAGAUGGAAGGCUUAGAACUUGAAUACAAUGGAUUAUGUGAUAAAUUUGGUUGAGUUUAUAAUAGCUAUUUUAUAGAGCACAUAGGAAGUAGUAUUGAACAUUUGAUUGAGUGGCACAGAUGAAUUAGGCAUUAGCACAUGCUAUUCUCUCUCAAUGGCCACAUAUGUUUAAGACUAAUGGUAGGACUUAAAUGUUUGAGUCUUGUAGUGUGGAUAAGAGAGUAUACAAAAAUGUUUGAGUCUUGUAGUGUGGAUAAGAGAGUAUACAAAUAAUUUGGCUGGAAACUCUUGAGUUUUAGUUGUGACAGACAAGUUAGGUGCUCAUGUGAUUGUGUUUUCAUUUACCCAUCCUAGCUGUUUAUUUUGUUGAAUUGAUGAAUCAUUUAGUAGAAAACAGUAGCUGCUGGGGAUUAAUCAAGCAGACGUAGUAGGGCUUGAUGUCUCGCAACACACAUAAAUCUAAUCUUCUUGGUCAUAUAUACUUGUAGCUAUCAGAACAUAAUAUCAUGUGCUAGUGUCUACUGCUUCUUCACCACUCGGAUAAUAUUUCUAAUAAAUUCUUUGAGUAGUUCUAUGUUCUAUAUAUACAUAUAUUUAAGCAUUCGUAGAAUUCAUCACAAACUCAAUUGCUUCAAGCUUUAAACUUACAUUUCCUUGUGUUUCUGUUGUUUCCCCCCAACUUUUCACUAAAAGAUCUGUUGCAUCAUGGGUAUUCGUGUGCCUCGCAUUGCUAAUCUCAAAAAAAUCCUCAACCGGUCAUCUUUCCUGAUAAAUCCUGAUCUUACUUCAACAAUUCCAAAGGGGUGCUUGGCAGUUUAUAUUGGGGAGAGGCAAAGAAGCAGAUUUGUGGUUGCGGUUUCAUACCUGAAUUUUCCUGCCUUCCAAGAAUUGUUAAGUCAAGCCGAGGAAGAAUUUGGAUUCAAUCAUCCGGAAGGAGGUCUUACGAUUCCUUGCUUAGUGGACACAUUCAAUGAAAUUGUAGAAUCGGAUUAUUUUAUACAUAUACAUCUAGAGAGCAUAGCACCUUCGAUCUCAUUUGAUGAGCUUCAGAUUGUAAAUUGUAGAAUCGGAUUAUUUUAUAAAUGCUUAUUACAUAUUUACGUAGAGCAAUAAAAAACUCUGUUUUUAAAACAUCCUUUGACAGAUUGAUUAAUAUAGAGCAUCACGGUUAUUUGUAUGUCUGUAUUGCUAAUCUUGAACAAAUCUUGACCAGUAAUUUUGUUGAUAUAUCUGACAUGUAAAUGAAUUUUAAAUAUUUAUAUGCUCCCCUAGUCAGGUUAUGACAUAAACUCUUAUAGUCUUCGACUCUUCGUUUACAUGUUAAGCUAUUCUAGUCACUUCCACGCUGCACCAUGUUGAUAACUGACGAAAAUGUUAACAUUUAAUUUUGUAAUUGACCUAAAAAGAGAUCAGAUUCAUACUGCUUGUACAAAAUAACAAAAUGAAUGAUUAAUUUGAGUCAAACUGGAAAGGAAUGAUCAAUUUGAGUCAAACUGGAAAGGAAUGAUCUACUUGAUAUAUUUGGAUGAAACGAGUGACCAACUUGAUAUUUUUCCUAAAAAAAUAUCAUAGAAAUAUGGAGUAUGAAACUAGCAAGGAAUGGAAGUCGACACAGGAAGAAAGAUUGAGCAAAAUACAAAGAAAUGUUGAGAAUACAUAGUGGUUUGAUUUGAUUUCUCUUUGAUUCUUUUUCGAGUUGAUCUACACCAAACCUUCUUGUGAUCUAUGUUGUUUGGUUAAUUAUCUGUACAGACAAUUGUUCAUAUUAUAUUAUUAAUUAUCAAUGCAGCCACCCCCUAUUCUUUGGAAUUUGAGGGUACUUUAGAUCCUUUAAUUUGAUGAACAAUAACACAAGCAAACCUGAACAGAACUGCUGAAAAAAGUUCUCCAGUAAAUCUCCAAAUUCUGCAGCAGCAUAAAUUUAAUCAUAAGAAUUUGCUUAAAAUUUACCAAAUUAUACACAAAAUUAGGCAAAUGUAUGCAUAAAAUAAGAAGUCAGCAGAAUCACAAACUAAAUUCCGUAGAUUAUAAGAGCAUCGGAGUCCAUAAUACAGAUUGCCUACUAAACUUUGCCGCAGAAAUUUUAUAAAUCAAUAAGUGUUCUAUGAAGACUUACACAACUAAUUUGCUGUAGAAUAGACAAAAUGUUCCUCAAACAAAAAAUUAAAAAUAACCCUAAUAUCAGAAUAUCAUUCAACUGCCUUCAUAGACAUUGAUACAUCCUUAAUCCUUUGAUGUGAGAUUGCUAGUUAAAACAAAAGUUAGUAUUUGGCGGGCUAGAUUGUGGAUAAUACAUGACAUGUCCUUGUAAAAAAAGAAAUUUAAAGAAAGGACAAACUUAUAGGAGAUAUUAAAACCUUCACAAUAAACGGAAGAUGGACAACAAAAGAACUUUUAAGAAAAUAUUCAGAAUCCAGGAAUAGGCUACUAGUAAAGUUGAUCCCCGACCUUUCCUAAUGACAAGGUCUGUGGUUCAUAUCCACACUCCACUUCGCUUUGAAGUCCCGCGUUAUAAGCAUGCAUGUUUUUAUUCCUUUGCCUCAACCUUAAGGUUUAUGUGAUGGAACCUUGCAAGACUAUUUCAACUGUUGAUGAUUAGCAACUUAAGAAGCAGAAUCAUAUCGUUCCGCCAUAAAGUUGAAUGGCAAUAAAAUAAUGAUAAUUAGUCUGCAAGUUCAAAUUACAAAAGUUAGUCUGUAAUCAGAACCUAAAACAGCCUAAAAUAAUAUAGAAAAAAAAGGGUGCCUAAAUUUAACUGAACUGCUUUCUUAAAAAUGGCAGUACAUCUCCUUUAGUCUCAGAUUUUUACAGCUUGUGCAAUCACAUAUGCACAUAUCUAAAAUUUUAUGAGGCUCGUGGUUCGUGAUGUUAAAUGAGACCUUGGUUGUCAGAACUGUGCUGCUGCUACUGGACAUAAAAGAGAACUGUAUUAUUGUUUGCUGCUAUAUUUAUCGGAAUGUUUAACAUAGCAUACUUCAUUCAGAGAAUAUAGAAUAUGAGAUUGACUCCUAAAAUUGACAAAAUCUUGACAGCAGAUGCAAUACAAAUCUGGAAAAAAAGCGCAUAAAAAAAAGUUGCGGACUAAUGGGAAAAACUUUAGCAUUCAGAAUAUUAUGUAGACAUAUCACAAAACAGAAAAUCCUCAUAUUCUGCAAACUAUGCUAAAAUCUGCAGUAAAUCUCUGAAUUAUGCAGAAACCCAGACUCUAUUUCUCUUAAGUUCUUUUGGAUUAUAUCGAGAAACUAAGUUGAUCGAAAAACCUUUAUCUCGCACAUCUACUUUCUGUAAUUCGACUUUAAAAACAAACUAAAAAUUGCACAUUUUUCUCCUUUUUACCCUUAACAAAAACAUUUCAUGAAUAUCCAUCAAGUCUAUAAUAAUUAAAAUUUCAAUAGUAGAAAUUAACUUAUAUACUUGCUUAUGCGGAGAACGGAUUAUAGGUUAGUUUCUAACUAAUUAAUCAAUAUAUUUCCUUGUAUAAUUUAAUUUAUAGGUCAUUUAUUUUCAUGAAUAUUCUUCAAAAGGCUAGGAACCUGCCCACUGGCUCCAUAGCCAACACAGGUAGGUAAUUCGGAGUCUCGGACUAACCGAGCGAUAAGACCCGGUGGGUGGGAACUUCCUUGCGAUACGCACGGAUAGGAACCCGAUCCCCUUUCUUCUGUCUCUUCAACUCGGGUGAACGUCAGGGAGCUGGUGAGGUUCGAACCCAUGACCCUUUGGAUCAAAGCAAGGCCCCGUUUCCACUGGGACAGCUCUCACACUUAUUUUCAAGAAUAUUGCUUUACAUCAAAUCAAGUUAAAAUUUUAUAAUUUCGAUAAAAACCCUUGAAUUGGAAAUAAUUAAAAGAAAAAUAACUUACAUAAAAAUUUAAGAUAAUUAUGCAAAAAAAUACCCCAACAAUUUGAUAUUCUACGUCGAGGAUAAUUUAAGUUUCAAAGCAAAUAAAUAUUUAUGUUUUUAUCAUAUUCACAGAUGGACUUUGCUGUUUAAUUGAGUAUAUACAUAUAGUAUGUAUGAGUUUAUAACCAGUGAUACAGAACACCUUCAAGAAAGAAUAAUUUCAAGAAUUAACACUCAAAUUUUUUUUAGUACUGCAAUUCAUUUCUCAUACAAUGCUCAAGCAAGAAGUGAGUUAAAGGAACAUGUCUACUCUACAUGGAAUAGUAAGACCACCUUCUACAUGAUCAGAUAAAGAUUUCAAGAGAGACUAGCACAUGGGUCUGUAUUUAUGUUACCCUACUGCUUCUUGUACCACUAAAUACAUGCUUCAGACAAGGAUUAGAAUGUUGAUUUUAUGUUUGAUUAUGUUAAAAAUUCAAAUAACUGGACACCUAACUAUUAAAGGCAGAGCUAUCAGACAACUAAGAAAUUUGAUUAUCCUUGGUAUUUGUAGGGCAAGUUGUGUCUUGGUAAGCAGAGAAUAUAUCCCAAACUCCUCCAACCUUGCUAUACAUUCUCUAUUUGUAGGACAUCACCAUGUGCUACUGACUUAUUAUUUCGUUUUCAUUGUUCAAGAAACCUUCUAUAUAAACAUAGGGACUUUGACAUAAAUCAACACAAGCAUACAAGCAAACCUUCAUUUCUUUUAUCAAGCAUCGUCUCAUCCUUUCCUUCUCGACAUCCACUUUAAAAAUACCAACUUAGAAACAUGGGUAUCCGCAUGCCUCGUAUUCCUCAUGUCAAGAAAAUCUUUCAGGGGUCUUCUUUGGCAACUACAGCAGUUUCAGACAUCCCAAAGGGCUGCUUGGCAGUUUAUGUUGGGGAGAGCCAAAGAAAAAGAUUUGUUGUUCCAAUUUCAUACUUGGCUGAGCCUGCCUUCCAGGACUUGCUAUGUCAAGCUGAGGAAGAAUUCGGUUUUGAUCAUCCAGAGGGGGGUCUUACAAUUCCCUGCAGAGAAGAUGUAUUUACAGAUCUCGCCUCAAGCUUGAGAAGAAAAUCAUAGAGAAGAACAUAAUCAAAAAAGUAGUUUAGAAAUUUUUUGUAAGCUAGUAGGAGAUAAGUUAGAAUAGGUUGGACCAAAGGCAUAAUUAUGCAAAUACUUUCUUCUGGUAUCUCAUGGAAUCAUUUUCAAUGAGGAAGAUCAUUACUUAAAAUUUUGUAAAAUAUUAAACUAUAUACUUCCCAUUAUAAUUUUAUGAUCUAACUAUGUUGUUUGCAAAUAACUUCCUAUCUGUAAUCAGUUCCACGUUAUUCUCAAAUUGAUCGAAAUUGGCAUAUAAGAUUGUGUUAACAGAUAAAUUUAUUGAAAAUCGAUAUGGGAGAAAGAAGCCUCUUAUCUUAUAUUCCUAUAUUUCAGAAAGAAUUAGUCAGAACCUAUCUACAGUUGCUCUGUGAUCAUAUUUACUGUGAAUACUAAAUUGAUCAAGCAUCGACCUGCAUAAACAUACAAUUCUCCUGUAUUUCCAUCGCGAAGAUCAUUGCAUAAAAAGCGGUCAAUUUAUAAACAAUCUAUAUCUCCUAUUAUAUCCUUUGACCGGAUUAUUUAGCUUGAUUGCCUUCCUCAUUUACAUCAUUUCCACAUAAUUCAGCAAUUAAAUCAACAGUUGCAUCUAAUUGUGUGUAAGAAGUAUGGUUUCAUGAAGAACUUGAAUGUCUUUUCCCUAUAUAUGGUUUCUCUCUGACAUUUGUUUCUUUAGAGGGAAUUGAUCUUUUCCCUAUAUAUGGUUUCAUGAAGUACUUGAAUGACUAUCUCUAUAUAUUUGUUUCUUUAGAGGGCAUGCCGAAAACACUUUAAAAAGGUAAAAACAAUAUACUAAUUUUCUUUUGGACUGUUCUGUAGAAGGAUAUGUUCAUUAAACCUUUUCUGACAGUCAAUUUAUUUCUGGUGGUUUCUAUUUCUUCAUGUUUUAUCUCUUAGGUAGAAAAAACAUUGUCACAUGAAGACCUAAUAUGUGAAACCCGCCAUAAAAUUAUUGAUGACAUAAUAUGCAAAUUGUAGGACAUCACGUGUUUAUGUAUACCAUUUCAAGAUAAUGUCACUUUCUGUAAUCUAUUGUGGAUGAUUUGGGUAGAGAUUUGAUAAGUAGGGGCAUGCUGUCUUGCAACAGACAGAGAAGUCAUUCUAUCACUCAUAAAUACAUGUAGCUAUUGAAAGAGAAAAUCAUGUGCUAUUGUCUAAUGCCUCUUCACCACUUGAAGUACAAAUUGAUGAACUGUUCAAUAUUUUCUAUUUUUGUAUAUAAAUACAUAACAGGGCAUUAAUAAAUUCAUCACAAACUCAAUCAUCUAAAGUCUUCACCAUACAAGUUCUUUUCUUUCUCCAUAUUCUCUAAACAAUCUAGGAGUAUUAUGGGUAUUCAUAUGCCUCGUGUUACUAAUCUCAAGAAAAUCUUUAACCCGUCUUCUUUCUUGAUAAGUCCUGAUUAUACCUUAACAGUUCCAAAGGGGUGCUUGGCAGUAUAUAUCUUGGAGAAGCAAAGAAGAAGAAGACUUAUCAAGAAAGAAGACGGGUUAAAGAAGAAGGGGGAUUGUCUAUUACAUUACAAACUAGAACCUUCCAAAAUUGUUAGUACCAGAUAAUCUGAAGUGAGGUUAAUGAAUGUUUUCUCUACAUGGAAAAGCCACUUCAGACUAUAAAGACAUGGAAUGUAUAAAGCUACUUAUAUAUAUUUCAAAUAAUAAGUACUUAUAAAGACAUAUAAUGACUACAUACUGAUUGCAGAGAUCAAAUCCAUGUAGAAAUUAAUGUCUCAAAUAUAAAAUUUCUACCUACAAGAUUUAUAUGAGAGUCAUAUAUAAAAUUUCUGGACUAGUUUACAAAAUUUGUACACUAUCUAACAACAUAUAUAUAAACUCUCAUAAUCUGUUCAAAAGAUUAAUGAAGGUGUCUUCUUUGCAUGGUAUUGUGAGGCCACCUUCUGGAUGACUAAACCCAAAUUCUUCCUCAGCUUGACUUAACAGGUCUUGGAAUGUAGGCUCGUUUAAGUAAGAUAUCGGAACUACAAAUCUUCUUCUUUGGUUCUCCCCAACAUACACUGCAACGCAUCCCUUAGGGACAUUUGUACUACGAUCAAGAUUUUUUAAGGAAAAUUGCCUGUUGAGAAUUUGCUUGAGAUUAGUGAUAUGAGGCACACGAAUACCCAUGAUGCUCAAGAAAAUUAAAACUUUAAUCUCGGGGGAUAUGGAAAAUACAAGAACUUCUGCAGACUGAAGGCUUAGACCCUCAAUUACACUUGAUUUUGUGAUGAAUUUGGUUGAGGAGAUCACAGUUUUUAUAUAGAAAUAACAAGUAAUGAGCGGUUGAUCAAGAUGCAGAUUGAGUGGCACAGAUGCAUUAGGCAAUAGCACAUGCUAUUCUCUUUCAAAGGCCACACAUAUUUAAGAGUUCAUACGAAGGUCAUCGACAUACAUAUAAUGGCUGGAAACUGUCAAGUUCGACAGGCAAGGAAUCAAAUCUUAUGCUUUUAUUGGUCAAUAGUCUUAGGUGGGAUAGGCAAGUUUGGUGCUCAUGUGACGGUGUUUUCUUGACCUAUCUCAGCUGCAUCUUUUGUUGAAUUGAUGUCUGUUUAAAACAGAUUAUCAGAUUAAAUGGAUCCAACAUCUUUGACAUGGUCUAGCUGCAUUAUGUCAAAAUAUCAACUUGGAGCUGGAAGAAACAGUGUCACAUGAACACUUAUGAUUUCAACCCCACCAUAAUCAGUGCAGACAAACCCAAAACAUAAAAUCCAUAUCAUGCCACCCACCUAUUGAAAGAGAAAAUCAUGUGCUAGUGUCUAUACUCACCGCUCAAUGUAGAAUUUGAUGAGAUGUUCUACACAACUUCCUGAUUGUUCUGUAUAAACACAUAACUAAGCGAUACUAACAUUCAUCACAAACUCACUGGUCUAAAGUCUUUCGUAUAACUAUACAAGUCCUAGUGUUUCUUCAGUUUUCUGAACUCUUCUCUGAAAGAGCUAUAGUGUCAUGGGUAUCCGUAUGCCUCGUAUUACUAGUCUCAAACAAAUCCUUAAUAGCUCAUCUUUCUUAUUAAAUCCUGAUCUUACUUCAACGAUUCCAAAGGGGUGCUUGGCAGUUCAUAUUGGGGAGAGGCAAAGAAGCAGAUUUGUGGUUCCUAUUUCAUACCUGAAUGAGGCUGCCUUUCAAAAAUUGUUAAUUCAAGCCGAGGAAGAAUUUGGAUUCAAUCAUCCGGAAGGAUGUCUUACAAUUCCUUGCUCAGUGGACACAUUCAAUGAAAUCACUUCGCGCCUGAACAAUUUAUAUACUUUUAGAUAGUAUAGCACCUGCGAUCUCAUUUAUUGAGUUUCCGAGUGUAAACUGUAGAAAAUACAGAUUUUGUAGGGGAAGCAUAAUUUGAUACUCAAACUUUUUGAACAUAUUGACCAUCACUUAUGCUCAUGGAUACUUGUUAUUUUCUAUAAAGCAUAUCACUAAGUGUUUGCCGAUAAACUUUAUGCCUAAACCAAAUCGAUCACCAACAAAAUUACAGUUUCUGUAGUUACUCUUUGAUACCUAAAUCUUGCAAUCGUCUUCAAAAAUCAGCACUGACACAAGGUGAGUUUGCUAGCUCAAAAAUCAAAAUUAAAAUUUAUAAACAGUUCUAAAUAAUUUAUAAAUAUAUCUGUUGCAUAGUCAGUGGCGAAACCAGAACUAAAAUUUUGGGGUGGCUCAAAUAUUUAAUUAUAUUCCUAAGCAGUUUUAUUACUGAUGGUUACAUCAAAAAGAGAUGAAAUAUUGUUAUAUGAUGUGAACCCCACCGUGUAUCUCCCAGUCGAGUUAAACAAGUUUCUUGAUUCUUCCUUUUUUCCUGAAAAUAUCUCACCACUUUCUAAACAUUUCAGUGUAAGUUCAUAAUGUCUUUGUCGAAACAUAUCCUUUCUCUUACACGAAGCAUCAACCAAUUCACAAUACGACAGAGAUGAUCAAAAAAAUCACUUACUACAUGAGAACAUUUAGCCAUAGCAACAACUAAUAACCGCAAUUUCAUGACUCUCCUGGUGAUAUAAAGUAAUGCAAUAUCAUGACUCUCGUGGUAAUUUAAAGUAAUUCGAGAGUACCAAAUUAGACUACCACAAUUCAAUAAUUCAGAACUAACAAAAAAGUCUAAAUUAUCAUUCUAAUUUAAAGACUUCCCAUAUCAAUUCAGGAUCAAACGACAACAUAUGUGUUAGAGCACCUUUUAAACUCUAGUUCUCGGGCAUCCCCCAAUUAAUAAUUUCAUUAUACAAAAUCAUGAAAGAUACAAAAAUAUUAAAGACUAACAAUUUAUCCAAGAAUCAAGAAACUCAAUCACAAAAAGUGAUAAAAAUUUCUGGCAAAAAAAAAGUGAUAAAAAUAAAAGGAUAAUCAAUCAAUUUAAUCAAUUUAUCAUACCUUGAAAUUUGGAAAACAAGUGAGAAGUCAGAGUAUUGAGUAAACACGGAAACACUGAGUGAAUCUAGAGAGGGAAAUAGAAGGAUAACGUUAGGUGUACUUUAUUCUGACAUUUUAAAAAAUUAUGUUGACAUCUAUAAUUCAGCAGAAGCUAAAAAAUAUAUACACCGUCAGUGGCGGUGCCACACUGGGGCCUGGGGGGACACGUGCCCCCACAAGUUUCCCUUUGUGGGCCUCACAUAUUAGUAAUACUCGUAUGUUUUGUCAUUUGUGUCCCGAAUAAAUUACUAAAUCUCUCUAUGAAAUCAUCUCAGCUUCAGUCUAUUUCAGUUCUAGCAGUAGUUUAAGCAUGACCAUGCUUCUUUAGGAUUUGUAUGUCUAAAUCAGUUGUGGUAGCAAGUUGGUUUUUAAAUAAGAUUUGAAGGGUAGGAUGUUUAGCCAGGUCUGUUUGUUCCAGUUUGUAGUAGUUGCUGUUCGAAUUUGUAAAACUAAUUAAGUAAUAUAUUUUGAGUAUAAUCGAAAAAUUAAAAGUGUCCCCCUUGAAUAUUUUGUCUGGCUCCGCCACUGUACACCGUUCUUAAUUUCGAGGUCAUGGGUAGCUUUAGCAUCCUCUAGCCCCCUCUGGUUUCCGCCACUGUGCAUAGUUUAAUCUAUAUAAGUCAUUUAUUAUCGUGAAUACUCCUUUUGCUCCUGAGCCUAUGAGAUAUUAGCGAUGCGCGUAUAAGUAGAAGUUUACAUGAAAGUCUCAGUCAGAAUUACAAUUCCUAGACUAGUUCACAAAAUUUGUACACUAUCUAACAACAUAUAACUAUGUACAUAUCUGUAGACAUAUAUAAACUUUCAAAAUCUGUUCAACAGAUCAACGAAAGUGUCUUCUUUGCAUGGAUAUGUGAGGCCACCUUCUGGAUGACUAAACCCGAAUUUUUCCACAACCUAAGAGCAUCUCCAACGCGUUGGCUAUAAUCGAUGGCUAAACGGGACCUGUAAGACAUUAUGUAAAAUUUGUUGAACUUGUAAGACAUUUUGCUUCAAUGGUAUUGGCUAUAUUGGAUGGCUAUAAUUUAAAAAUAGUAUGUUAUUAAUAUUUUUUUUUGCCAGUGUAUGUUAUUAAUAUUUUAGAUUGUUAAAAUAGAAUAUAUCAGUAUGGUAAUAAAUGAUGUGCAAUCUUUCUAUAGAUUUCUUACAGACCUGUAGAGGUUCGACAAAUUUAGCCAUCCGUAGGAGGUUGGCUAAAAUUAUAGACAACAGCUGGGUAUGGUUGGAGUAUGUAUUUUUCGAGCUGUUGGCUAAUUUUUUUUAUUUUUAGUAUGCCAACUCAGCUAAGGGCUUUCAAUGGUUGGAGAUGCUCUAACUCAACAUAAAUUGCCAUAAGAGCAUCUCCAAUGGUGUUGGCUACAAUCGUUGGCUAAAUUGAACCUAUAAGACAUUAUGUAAAAUUUGCUGAACUUGUAAGACAUUGUGCCUCAAUGGUAUUGGCUAUAUUGGUUGGGUAUAGUUUAAAAAUAGUAUGUUAUUAAUAUUUAGAUUGUUAUAAAUAGAAUAUAUCAGUUUAAUAUGGUAAUAAUUUAUAUGUAAUGAGGAAAAUAAAUUGCGGGAAAUGACGUGGAAUUCACUACAGAUCUGGAGUGGUUCGACAAAUAUAGCCAUCCAUAGGGGGAUGGCUAUAAUUAUAGACAAGGGCUCACCAUGGUUGGAGUGCUCUUUUUUGUGAACAUUGGCUAUAGUUUUUAAUUAUAGUAAGCCACCUAGAUUUUUACGUAAAGGCUUCUCCUGGUUGGAGAUGCUCUAAGCCUUUUAAUUAACCCCUUAUUCUCGUAUAAUCAAGGGUGAAUAUAAGCAGCCAGUUAAUAUUAUUUAAUAAAAUUUCAGUUCAUUACUAUUAAAUUGAUGUUAAUUUGAUCAUAAAUAAUAAUUUAAAAUUAUAUAGUAAUCGUUUGUUAACACAGGUUUAAAAUUAGUAUUACUUAAAACAUAGUAUAUAAAUUGGAGAAGGGCCUGUUACGAUAUCAACGGCCCAACAUAGACACCCUUUUAUCCAAUCGUUUUUAUAUGGAUAUAUAAAAAUAUUUAAGGGUUUUAUAUCAAAUUGCUUAUUCAACUCUGCAAAAUAUAUCACGUAGAUAUUUGAUCUCCACGACUACUCAUUUAAACCACAACAAUAAUAUAUAUAAUUUUGUUGAUUUUUUUCCCAUACCCAAUAUUUAGCAAUAUAUGGUUGGUUUGUACACAGGGAUGUAUGCACACUGGGGCAGUGGGGGUACUUGCCCCCAGUGAGCUGCAUAGUAUUUAGUAACUUAUAGUAUACAUAUUUCACAAAUUGAGGACUUGCCCUCAUGGUUCAAACAUGGGAUUUUGGUGGAAUAAGCCAUAGUUCGACUCCUGGCAACAACAGUUUCCUCUUUUAGGCCUUCUCAUUUUUAAGCCUCUCCUGCCUUCCCCUCUUUUUUAUCUAUAUUAAUGUUUAGCAGUAUUAUUGCCUCUCCUGCCUUCCCCUCUUUUUUAUCUAUAUUAAUGUUUAGCAGUAUUAUUGCCUCUCCUGCCUUCCCCUCUUUUUUAUCUAUAUUAAUGUUUAGCAGUAUUAUUGCCUCUCCUGCCUUCCCCUCUUUUUUAUCUAUAUUAAUGUUUAGCAGUAUUAUUACUACUCAUAUUUAUUAUUAUAUUUAUAUUUUGAUUUGUAUUAUUUUAGUAGUUAUAGUAGCUCUGAAAUUAUAAAUAUCAUGUAAAAUUUUCCACGGUUUACACGGUUUUUAACCUAGGGCGGAGCGGUUGCAGUUCGAAUUUUUCACUAAGCUGCCUAUGCAGUUUAGAAAAAAACCACCGCGAUAGUUUUACUUGAACAAGUAGCUAGCUUUAUCUUUAUAUUUUUCAUCCUAGUUGAAGUUACAUUUGAGAUAGUAAGAGAAGCUUGAGUUGGAAUAUAAGUGUUUUCUUUGAUUGCAUUAUUAUGUUAACAGAAUUUCGUUACCACAUCAGUAAUUUCGUUAUCACAUCAACAUUGUUGUCCAAAAAUUUUAAAAUAAUUAACGAAAUGAUAUAUAAUAGUAUUUUAGUGGUUUAAAUGAGUCGUCGUGAAGAUUGAAUAGCUACAUGAUAUAUUUUGUUUAAUUCGGUGAGCAAUUUGAUAUAAAACCCGAAUAUUUAAUACAGCACACUCGUAGAAGCCAUCAAGUCCCUCCUAGAGUCCUAGGUUUAACAAAACAAAUUUGCCUACAAAAUCCGUUCUCUUUAACCCCUUAUUCUCAUAUUGAAUAAGUGAAGAACAGUAAGAAAUUUGACAAGCAUAAAAGGUGAAGAAUCAAGAGAAAAGCUGAUGGGUUCUAACGGGAACAAAAGAGGAAGCAAAAGAAAAGCAGGGAGACCCAAAAAUAAGAUGAAAAGAAUUGAUGAUUUGGGUAAAAAAAGUGAGGAGAUUGUGAGAGACAGUGUGGAUCAAAGGACUGUUCUUGAUUUGGAUGCCAUUGUUAGAGAUUAUAUCAGCAGAACCCGUNNNNNNNNNNNNNNNNNNNNNNNNNNNNNNNNNNNNNNNNNNNNNNNNNNNNNNNNNNNNNNNNNNNNNNNNNNNNNNNNNNNNNNNNNNNNNNNNNNNNNNNNNNNNNNNNNNNNNNNNNNNNNNNNNNNNNNNNNNNNNNNNNNNNNNNNNNNNNNNNNNNNNNNNNNNNNNNNNNNNNNNNNNNNNNNNNNNNNNNNNNNNNNNNNNNNNNNNNNNNNNNNNNNNNNNNNNNNNNNNNNNNNNNNNNNNNNNNNNNNNNNNNNNNNNNNNNNNNNNNNNNNNNNNNNNNNNNNNNNNNNNNNNNNNNNNNNNNNNNNNNNNNNNNNNNNNNNNNNNNNNNNNNNNNNNNNNNNNNNNNNNNNNNNNNNNNNNNNNNNNNNNNNNNNNNNNNNNNNNNNNNNNNNNNNNNNNNNNNNNNNNNNNNNNNNNNNNNNNNNNNNNNNNNNNNNNNNNNNNNNNNNNNNNNNNNNNNNNNNNNNNNNNNNNNNNNNNNNNNNNNNNNNNNNNNNNNNNNNNNNNNNNNNNNNNNNNNNNNNNNNNNNNNNNNNNNNNNNNNNNNNNNNNNNNNNNNNNNNNNNNNNNNNNNNNNNNNNNNNNNNNNNNNNNNNNNNNNNNNNNNNNNNNNNNNNNNNNNNNNNNNNNNNNNNNNNNNNNNNNNNNNNNNNNNNNNNNNNNNNNNNNNNNNNNNNNNNNNNNNNNNNNNNNNNNNNNNNNNNNNNNNNNNNNNNNNNNNNNNNNNNNNNNNNNNNNNNNNNNNNNNNNNNNNNNNNNNNNNNNNNNNNNNNNNNNNNNNNNNNNNNNNNNNNNNNNNNNNNNNNNNNNNNNNNNNNNNNNNNNNNNNNNNNNNNNNNNNNNNNNNNNNNNNNNNNNNNNNNNNNNNNNNNNNNNNNNNNNNNNNNNNNNNNNNNNNNAAAGGUGAAGAAUCAAGAGAAAAGCUGAUGGGUUCUAACGGGAACAAAAGAGGAAGCAAAAGAAAAGCAGGGAGACCCAAAAAUAAGAUGAAAAGAAUUGAUGAUUUGGGUAAAAAAAGUGAGGAGAUUGUGAGAGACAGUGUGGAUCAAAGGACUGUUCUUGAUUUGGAUGCCAUUGUUAGAGAUUAUAUCAGCAGAACCCGUGAAUUUCGCAAAGAUGGUCAAAAAAUUUGUUCUGUCAGUAGCAGUGAUGAUGAUGAACAUCGGAAUCAUGCAAAUAAAAUCAAGGACAAGGAGAUCAUUGUUGGUGGUAGUGGUAAAGAUGAUGAUAAUGAUGAUCAGAAUCAUAAAAAUAAAAAUAAGGACAAUGAGAUUGUUAUUAGUAGUGAUGAUGAUGAUGAUGAUGUUGCUGAGGAUGAUGAUCAGAAGAUUAGAGAUGAACAUGAUGUGGAGAAGGAGGCUACGGCCCCCCAAUGUGAAGAGCACGACGGAUAUCCUCCGGAAGAAGCUCUGUCUUCAGCAAAGAGACGCAAGAAUGGUGCAAUGGGAAAAGAUGAUGAAAAGAUUCAGAAGAUAGGGAGUAGGGGUUGGAACAAUAAUGAAAAAGGUAAAGAUGGCCAGACAAGUCGAGUUUGUAAGUCUGCUGGUUCUAAGCAAAAGGGUGGCGUAAUGACAGAUGAGAAUGUAUGUUUGCCUCCCUGUUCUGUUAUAUAACUCAUUAACAGCUGCAUUACAAUUCAUUGGGAUUUGUUCGCCUGCCACGUGACCGGUUUCAGAUGUCUUCAUCUCAUUAAUUGCUGCUAACAAGGCAAACCGAGAUCCGGUGCCCGUAAUGUAAUAUGUCUAGUCUCCUAGUGCCCUUUGGGUUAUAUGCUCGGCCUCCCUGUUCUGUUAUAUAACUCAUUAUUAUAUGCUUGGCAUUAUGUUUCUAUUAAUACCUGAGAAGCAUGAGAAAGGGUGUGCAGAAAUUAGGCAGCCAAUAACAAAACUAACUAAAGCAUGCAAACUGAAUCAGAUACAUUAUAUACGGAUCUAAGACAUAAGAAUUUACGUCAAACCGUUAAUUUUUGUUACACAAAUCUCAAAAAAAGAAAAAAAAUUGGUUGAGACUAAGACUUUUGAGUACCUAAUACAGGAGUGCGUAUGGAGGGACAGGGAUUUGUUAGGUUACAGAAUAAUCCAUGUUUCUGCGUUAAUACUUUAUGUGUAUUGCUUAUAAGUUUUACAAAUUUAUUUGGGUGUUUAUGCUAACAGGGAAAUCCGAUAUCAACUAUGUGUCACCAGUGCCAGAGGAAUGACAAAGGUAGGGUCAUGGUAUGCAAUAACUGUAAUAAGCCUCAACAUAAAUUGCCAUAAGCCUUUUGGAAUAACAAGCACUGUUGAACUAGCAAGAUAUCUGAACACAGAAGACUGAUGGAUACUUUUCUUAACAUGAGAAAUAACAGUCAUACGGUUUUCAUGGUGUAAUAACAAAUCGACAAGAAUGAUUAUAGAAUGAAAGUAGAGGUGGAUGAAAAUUUUGAUGGUUCGGCUAAUUAGUUUAUGUUGACUUGGUUGCAGUUCCCUUUCUCUGCGAUUAUAUAUAGAGGGGAAAUGAAAUAUCAUUUAAAUUAUGAAAUAUCCAGACGCCUUUCUCUUUGGCUCACCACAUAGAUUAACAACUCAGAGGCAAUAUCUGUUUCUGCUAGGAAACAUCUCAUAUUCCCAAUUGAUUGCUUAUGUGCACCACCUCAAAAAUUAAUACUUCUGCAUCAGAUAAAGAUUUCAAGAGAGGGGUUGCUGGUGCUCCAUACAAUAUUUGCGGAAAUCAAUAGACGCAGACCUCCAAGAUUUACAAACACCGCUAAAUGACAGGUAGUCCACGAUACUUAAUUUUACCAAAAUUGACACCAGAAGUUCAACAGGAAGAAUGCCCCAUGCUCCUCAAACUGUCACCCGAUCUCCUGCAUAUCCUUUUCCGUUCUCUUCCUUGUUUUACUGGUCGUGGAGCAUUCCUGUUAACAAAGAGGGAAACGAAGAACUCACCACAAAGCUAGAUUGAUCAUGCACAGUCAAAUGAAUUUUAUUUAGAAAGAGUCAGUGGUUUGUUGAAAACAGAAUGCAUUACUUUUACAGAUGUUUCUUAAGGACAGAUUCAUCCUUUGCAAGAUUUAAAAGAACUUGAUUUAACACAUAGAGGAGAAACUAGAGUUGGAUUGUUCCUUUUGCCAGUACAGUAAAAAGUUCUGCAGCUAGACAUUAGAAGAUAAUAAAGCUUACUGGAAGCUAAUUCACUAAAGGUUCACAUAUUAAAAUGAAAAUCAGUGCAUAGUUUAAUCAGAACUGGAUUAAGAGUGUGCAAACUUAACAUCUUUCCGAUAUGAGAACUUCAACGUCCCCCAGUAAGAAUGCAAUCAUCCUAAUGAACCAUAACUAGAUUUAUAAGAGGUAGUUUGGUUAACAUGUAAAUCUCCAGGAAUUUAAAGUUCCUAGCAAAUUGUAAGAUUUUUUUGUUGACCGCUAUAUGGAAAGUGGAACCUCCUAGGAAAUUGGAAUUUCCACAUAAUGUAGAAACUUGCUUAUGUCACACACUGGUACUGCAAAUUCCUACACCACAACCAAACAUGUUUUUUAACUUCCCAGGAACUUGAUAAAGGAACUAGGAGGCCAGUUGGAGAAUUUAGAAUCAAGGUCCAACUGGCAUAUGAUACUUUUACGAUAUAGCAGUCUAGUUUACAAAGGCACAACUAUAUACGUAAUGCAUACUUCAAGAGAAAGUAGGGAACAUUUAGAUUAAAGUUUUAGUAGACAAUGAGUGAAGUAUAUUCCAUGUUUAUAGUAGAAUUCCUUAGGGUCCAAUGGUGUUCUUUGUAUUGUUCUAUGUUUAUAUCCAUACUCUUGAGAGGCAAUCUCUCUAUCUCGGUGCUUAGUUGCUCUCUAUGCAUUUUAUUAAAUUUUUGGUUGUUGAAACGAUAAAUUUGUAUACGACAUAGUGGUGAUUAUACAAUACAGGCCAAGUAAUUUUUUGAACUCGUCUGAACGACGAGAAUGUAUGGGGUUUGCGGUUGUUAAGGAGAACUAGGGAUAUGGCUUACAUGCAUUUUGUCCAGGUAAGGUGUUGCUUGUAAUCAUACAUCUCACUACACGUACACCAUUUUUUGCUUACCUUGGAAUCCCUAGAUUUUUUUUUUUGGACCAGAUCUCUGUGAAAUAAGAAUCACCAACUGUGUGAUCUAGCAUUUACAACCAUACCUGCGACUUGCAUUCUAGAUUUGAAAUGAGAUUUGCUUGAAGUACUUAGACUCUAUGUCAUAUAUUACUAGAAAUACAAAUUAUUUUAUGUUAUUUCUCCAGACAUGUAGCACUCCCGACCAACCUCAAUGGUGUUGGAAUAUUGGGAUGAUUCUUAGAAGCUGUAAAUUUACAUUUGGUUAUAGAAGUGGAGAAGCAAUGCUCAUUGCCCAUUUAAAAUAAGUAUACAAGAUAAACAAGAGCUUAGAAGCUUGCAGAGAAAGAGAAAAAAGUAGAAGAAAUCUCUGUAAAAAAUAAAUUGUGGGGGGACUUGCAUGUAUUACUACAAGAAAACGCGAAUCUCUUAACCAAAUUUACCAACGGAAAUUCUGUUGGCAAAUUACCAACCGAAAAUCUGUUGGCAUAUUGGACAUCUCACUGAAGUCAACACACCAAGUUUCCGUUGCAAAAUUACCAAAGGAAUGUAUAUUUCCGUUGGUAACAGUUUACCAACCAUGAUAUUACUAACAGUUUAUUCCGUUGACACUUCGUUUUGCCAACGGGAAUUUGUGUUUACCCAAUGGAAAAUUCCGUUGGGGAAUUCGCGUUUUUUUGUAGUGUGGAAACUGCAGAAGCAUGGAAGUGAUCUGAUAAAGGUACGAGAAUAAUGAGUCUUUAAAAGUAAUGAGGCUUUAAAAGAUGUGUUUAUUGAUUAUAAGUAAAAAUUUAUUUAUAAAUGAAAAUUAACUUUUAAUUUAUGUGUUUUGAUUUUUUUUAUAUUUAUAGGGUAUAAAAUUUUAUAAUAUAAUAACAAAUUAUCUUUUAAAGUGGUCCUUUACUUCUUUGUAAAAUGAAAUUUCAAAAAUAAAAAUAAGUCACUGAAAAAGUUAAGAUUUUUUAGCUUCUCAUAUUCUGCCUUUUAAGUCAGAAGUUCAUACACAAACAAUACGAAUGAGUUACUUCUGACUUAUAAGUCUAAAUGAUGGGCUUUUAAGCCGUCCCAAUCUUUUUGUCCGCCUUAUUAAGAAAAUCAAGGGAUAAUUAAUUCAAACGUCCCUGAACUAUAGUCUGUUUAUUGUCUAGGUCCCUAUCCUAUUUUUCUCAAUAUUGCGAUCCUUAAACUUUCAAACUUUUCUGAUUCGCAUCCUUCCGUUAAAAAUCAACUAACAGACGUUAGUCAAUGCUUAUGUGGCAGAUAAAAAAAUAAAAUUAAAAAAUUAUCAAGUACCAGUUUUAGUAGCAUAAGUACACAUGUCAUUAACAAUAUCUUCACUCCACAAUAAUUGACAAUUAUCAAGUGACUCACCCUCCUUGUGCCAAUAUAUCUUAUAGUUUUUAUACCCAAGCCUCUUCUCUACCAAAUCUUUACAUGAAUCAAGACAAAUUGUAUCUAUGCUCUGGCAGUAAACUAGUUCUACUUUACCUUCUUCAUAGAGCCGUAUGCGAUUUUUGUAAGUAAACACUCCCCCAUGAUAAAUUCGAAUAUUGACAUAGUAAAUCCCCAUCCCUGCACAUAUACACACAAUCAAUAAGAGAAAAGUAUAUACAUGUAUAUAUAUGAUCUUGUAUGUCUGUACAUACCUCAUAAGAUAGAAGGAUCGCUGUCAAUCGAACCCUAGUUUAGUGAAUAAAGAAAAUCCCCAAUCGCUCUAGAACCCUAAUUUUCGUGUGUUAGUACGUUGCUUAGCGAAUGUUAGGUGCGUGGAUGUUUUAUUUUUGGACUUAAAUUGACUUAACUUAAAUUGGUUUUAAAAGAUGACAGCUCAGAUUUUAAUUUUUUAAUUUUAUUUUUUGAUCUGCCACGUAAGCAUUGACUAACGUCUGUUAGUUGAUUUUUAACGGAAGGAUGCGAAUCAGAAAAGUUUGAAAGUUUAAGGAUCGCAAUAUUGAGAAAAAUAGGAUAUGGACCUAGACAAUAAACAGCCUAUAGUUCAGGGACAUUUGAAUUAAUUAUCCCGAAAAUCAAUCAAUUAGACUGUAUAGUAGACUAUGCAUGUGAAUCUAGAGCACUUGUGAAGAGAUACAAUCUGCAUUAGAAAGUCUGGAUAUGGUUGUAAAGUUGAACAAUAUUAGUUUGGCCAGAAAGAACUCAUUUGAGCAAGAGGAGUUUGUUUGAAAGGACAGACUUAGAGGCCCUUCAUUCAGAAAUUACAAAAAAAAUUUUUUCAAAUGAGAAAGAUCAGCUUCUUGAAAAUUAACUUAUCUAUUCGUCACCACAAUAAUUCAGAAACGAAGUAAUCAUCUAUAAAUUAAACUUUGAUUAACAAAAAUAUAUAACUAUAUUAAACUGCAGAAACUUCAGCUUCAAAUUGGGAAUUUUUUACCUAAGAAUUUGUCUUAUACAUGAACAAACUUGGUGUCAAUAAGAAAUAAAGAAAAUGACUUUUGAAAUCUGGUGCCUCUAAUGCAAACAUUACAGCAUCAAUGUAUAAAAGUUUUCAUAAUAGAACUAGUACAAAGUUGCAUUAUGAAAGAUGAAGAUACAAACUAGAGACUUAAUGAGAAAAACUGAUAUCAGAUUUAGAAGUGAUCAUGNAAAAAAAUAAAAUUAAAAAAUUAUCAAGUACCAGUUUUAGUAGCAUAAGUACACAUGUCAUUAACAAUAUCUUCACUCUACAAUAAUUGACAAUUAUCAAUUGACUCACCCUCCUUGUACCAAUAUAUCUUAUAGUUUUUAUACCCAAGCCUCUUCUCUACCAAAUCUUUACAUGAAUCAAGACAAAUUGUAUCUAUGCUCUGGCAGUAAACUAGUUCUACUUUACCUUCUUCAUAGAGCCGUAUGCGAUUUUUGUAAGUAAACACUCCCCCAUGAUAAAUUCGAAUAUUGACAUAGUAAAUCCCCAUCCCUGCACAUAUACACACAAUCAAUAAGAGAAAAGUAUAUACAUGUAUAUAUAUGAUCUUGUAUGUCUGUACAUACCUCAUAAGAUAGAAGGAUCGCUGUCAAUCGAACCCUAGUUUAGUGAAUAAAGAAAAUCCCCAAUCGCUCUAGAACCCUAAUUUUCGUGUGUUAGUACGUUGCUUAGCGAAUGUUAGGUGCGUGGAUGUUUUAUUUUUGGACUUAAAUUGACUUAACUUAAAUUGGUUUUAAAAGAUGACAGCUCAGAUUUUAAUUUUUUAAUUUUAUUUUUUGAUCUGCCACGUAAGCAUUGACUAACGUCUGUUAGUUGAUUUUUAACGGAAGGAUGCGAAUCAGAAAAGUUUGAAAGUUUAAGGAUCGCAAUAUUGAGAAAAAUAGGAUAUGGACCUAGACAAUAAACAGCCUAUAGUUCAGGGACAUUUGAAUUAAUUAUCCCGAAAAUCAAUCAAUUAGACUGUAUAGUAGACUAUGCAUGUGAAUCUAGAGCACUUGUGAAGAGAUACAAUCUGCAUUAGAAAGUCUGGAUAUGGUUGUAAAGUUGAACAAUAUUAGUUUGGCCAGAAAGAACUCAUUUGAGCAAGAGGAGUUUGUUUGAAAGGACAGACUUAGAGGCCCUUCAUUCAGAAAUUACAAAAAAAAUUUUUUCAAAUGAGAAAGAUCAGCUUCUUGAAAAUUAACUUAUCUAUUCGUCACCACAAUAAUUCAGAAACGAAGUAAUCAUCUAUAAAUUAAACUUUGAUUAACAAAAAUAUAUAACUAUAUUAAACUGCAGAAACUUCAGCUUCAAAUUGGGAAUUUUUUACCUAAGAAUUUGUCUUAUACAUGAACAAACUUGGUGUCAAUAAGAAAUAAAGAAAAUGACUUUUGAAAUCUGGUGCCUCUAAUGCAAACAUUACAGCAUCAAUGUAUAAAAGUUUUCAUAAUAGAACUAGUACAAAGUUGCAUUAUGAAAGAUGAAGAUACAAACUAGAGACUUAAUGAGAAAAACUGAUAUCAGAUUUAGAAGUGAUCAUGCGCCAAACUCAUCACUGACACAACUGAUGGACCAAAUUUCACUAGGAAAAUACCAAAAACAAAGUGACGAAUGACCAUCCCAAACAACCGGAGUUGUUCCUAGCUGAUUUCCAUUCAGGUUAAAGAAAGAACAUGUGUUGAAAACUCCUAAGUGAAGAACACAGACACAGUUACCUGCUCCCCAACCAGUUGUAUCGACGACAGCAGAACUGAACCAACUAAAAAAUAAAGAUUUUGCACCCAAGUCAUGAAUCUGUUUUGCUCUAUCCAUUGUCUCAUGGUCAAUUUCGAAUAAUGCCAGAUGUCGGUCCACUGCAGGAUAAGGACAACAAUUGAAUACAGUCAUGUAUAGCUUAUUGUCUGAUGCCACCAACUUCAAAUACAUAUCAGAUGAAACCUGGAAAGGGAUGCUGAUUUUGGAGAGCUUUGGAACAGAACCUGCCUUCGGAUUAAAUUCUCCAAAACGUAAAUCUGAAGUCAAAACAAAGAUUUUGCCAUCAAAAAUCUUCACAUCUGCAAUCCUGGCUUCUGUGUCGGAUACAGCAUAUCUCUGCCAACUGCUGCCGCCACUUUUGGACAACAAUAUAUAAUUUUCUGUCAGAGAGAAAAGAACCAUGAAAGUUUCUGAAAGCCGAGUGGACUGAAAUAGGAGAGCAGAAAAUUCAAUGCAGUUUAUGCCACCCAUAUGUCCAGGAAGGACGGGAAAACGCAGCUCAUGUUUUGUAAUUAAAUUUACGAGCCAAAAGCCUAAGUUUCCGUCGGUUGUAAUCAGGUACCCACAUGACAAACCCAAUAAUUUCUUGCAAGGCAAAUCUGGCAGCAUUGUUUUGUAACUUUUCAUAUCGAACAUAUUGUACAAUACACAAGACUUUUUCGAAUACUUUGGCCGAACAACAACUAGGGGUUGCUGGCGCUCCAUACAGUAUUUGCGGAAAGCAAUAGAUGCAGACCUCCAAGAUUUACAAACACCGCUAAAUGACAGGUAGUCCACGAUACUCAACUUUACUAAAAUUGACACCAGAAGUUCAUUAGGAAGAAUGCCCCAUGCUCCCCAAACUGUGUCACCCGAUCUCCUGCAAGUCCUUUUCCGUUUUCUUCCUUCUUUGACUGUUCGUGGAGCAUUCCUGUUAACAAAUAGGGAAACGAAGAACUCACCACAAAGCUAGAUUGAGCAUGCCCAUUCAAAUGAAUUUUAUCUAGAAAGACUCAGUAUUUUUUGUUGAAAACAGAAUGCAUUACUUUUACAGAUGUUGCUUAAGGACAGAUUCAUCCUUUGCAAGAUUUAAAAGAACUUGAUUUAACAGAGAGAGGAGAAACUAGAGUAGGAUUGUUCCUUUUGCCGGCACAGUAAGAAGUUCUGCAGCUAGACAUUAGAAGAUAAUAAAGCUUACUGGAAGCUAAUUCACUGAAGGUGCACAUAUUAAAACGAAAAUCAGUGCAUAGUUUAUGUUAAGGCCACUAAAAUCUAAAAUUUUAAUCAGAACUGGAUUAAGAGUGUGCAUACUCAACAUCUUUCCGAAAUGAGAACUUCAACGCUCCCCAGAAACUUGCUUAUAUCACACCCCAGCACUGAAAAUUCCUACACCACAACUUCCCAGGAACUUGAUAAAGGAACUGGGAGGCCAGUUGGAAAAUUUAGAAUCAAGGUCCAACUGGCAUAUGAUACUUUUACGAUAGCAGUCUAGUUUAGGAGGGCACAAGUAUAUACGUAAUGCAUACUUCAAGAGAAAGUAGGGAACAUUUAGAUUAUAAUUUUAGUAGACAAAUUUUUCUAUAAAAAAUGAGUGAGGUAUAUUCCAUGUUUUUAGUAGAAUCUCUUAGGGAAAGUCCAUUGGUGUGCAAUAUCUUGUUCUAAAAUAGAACAAUGCUAUAGUUUGUUCAAUAUUUAGAACAAAAGAUAGAUGGAGCUAUAAUUGCUGAAGUAUAAAAUGAUGAAGAAAUGUAUAAGAAGGUACUUGAAAGUGCGGGGUCUUUGAAAGUUUGUCAUAUUUAUAUUCAAAAGUGGGAUGUAUUUGGAAGUUGUUUAAAUGUGAAACAAGAUUUGAAACCAACCAUUGGAAAAUCACUUUUUCAUGCUAAAUUAUAGCAAACUCCAUCUAUUUUAGCACAACCAAAUGACUUUAUUCACUUGAGAUUUAGCCAAGACUUUUUUCUCCCCCCUUCCAAGGGGUGCUUAUUCUUUAAUUUGCUGUAUACAUGCACUUUUUGGGACUAGAGAUUUAGCCACACUUUUGAUUGUUACUACGUAAGGCUUUGAUGCCCCAAACCAGGAACUCCAAAACUUCAAGACAAAAUUUAUAAUAUUUACAUAGAGCAAAUUCAGAACAUAUUUACCCGAAAUAGUCGAUUAUCAACCGCCCCGCAAAAAAAUCAACAAUCCGCCUCAGAACAUUAUCACAAAAUGCCUUUUCCAUUCCACCCAAGGAAGGCCUUUCAACCACUUCCAUUCUGCCUUCGUUGAAAAAAUGGGCUGAUUCUCUCAAGCUCUUGUUCUUCCUAAUAACCACAGAAUACAUAAUGGUCAGACUGGAAAUAUCUGGGUUUUCCUUGUGCUUCCUUCAGGCAUUUACUACUACUCUUUAAAAGUUUGUAGAAGGAAUUCAACUUAAAUAUGGAUAAGUACAAAAAAAAGGGGAUAUUCACAGAAAAGAUUUUACUGUCUCCAUCUUUUGACAGCAUGAAACCAGUUCUUUUUUCAGUCUUCAUUUUCUUUUUCGUUAGCAUCAUAAACAUAAAUUUUAAGCAUACGAUAUCCACUAAUUCUGAUUGAACGGCUACGCAGAAAUCCAAAAUGUCAAAAAAUUGGUACUUAUAAUAAACAAAUUAAGUAGGGCAUAUACUGAUGAAUGUCUAAGUUAUGUUACCUACCAAAAUCGCUUUACAACUUAAAUGGUGUUUUAUUGCUUCUUUACAUAUAUAUUCAGCACAAAAAGGUGGACAUGCUCCAAAUGCUGUCUAGUUCCUCAGGUGUUAUGUUUGUGACUGUCUACAGAGUAUCACAGUGACUAACAUAACUAAAGCAACAAUCAACACUGUGAAAUGCUAGUUGGAAGAAUAUUAGCUUGACUUGGGCAGCUACUAGUAAGCCCAAAAUACUUAUUUAAAUUGCAUACGUGAAAGCUUGGCAUGUUUCAUUCAUAAUUAAUUAAUUAUAAUGCUUCACAGACAUUAUAAUUCUUAAUAGAUAUGCGAUACAAUGACAUGUUAAGUAUGACUAGUGUAUUAAGGUUUAUGUUCUAUUUCACACUACCAUGAAAUAAAUUCGGGUUUACAUUCCAGCAAAGUAAUAGUCUAACAGAGGGAGACACAGAGAAGAAGAAGAGGAGUUAACCAAAUUGAUUUUUAUCCUACACAGUAUAUUUUAUUUAUAAGCAUGUCACACUAAUUUGUUCCAGAACAUUCAGUAAAUAUGUGAGAAUCCAUAUUAUGAUUGCCUUAAUAUUAACAAGUCUCAGAUCAUACACCGCAAUUUAUUGAUCUGAUCAAGUCAAGAUUUAGUUUCAAAUUAAGCUAGAUAUCAUAAAAACAAGAUAAUAUUGAUAUGUAUUGGAUUUAAACAGUAAAUUAAAGGAAACAAUCAAGUAAAACAGAUCAGAAAAUUAACAUUACCACACUAUCUGGCAGGUUUAAAAACUUAUUCAAUAUACUUAUUACAUUACAUGAAUAAAAUUAAAGUAUUGGAUUUCUAUUUAUCAAAUCAUUCAAGAGAAGGCUCUGGCUUCUACAGUUUCGCUUUAUCAAUUCCUUCCUACCGGUCCUCGGAUUAGACUAAAUUAAGCUCACAUCUACUUGUGAAGUUCAGCAAAUCAAAAAUUAACAUUACGCUAGUAAACAAAAUCUACAAUCAUCUAAAGGGAAGAUUUACUUGUUAAAAAGAUAAUGCGGGCACAAACUGAACAAAAUGGCAAUGGAACUCGCCAACUCACCUGAGAUUACCCUAGUCCGCCGCAAAUCGCCCUCCACUAGUGCUCUCAAACUUUCUUAAAUAAAAAGAGAGACCUGGUUUGACAUAGGAUAAUAUAUAUGGUGAGAUGGACGGUCAGGAUAAGGUGAUGGGUUGGUGAGAUUGGACGGUCAGGAUAAGGUGAUGGGUUGGUGAGAUUGCAUCAUAUGACGACACAUGUUAGUAUGGAUGUACACCACUAUGGAUCCUUUGAGGUGGGCCGGAUCGAGAUCACUACCCCUAAGGCCUAUUACAUUGACCAAUGACCGGAUAACGGUGAGGGACUAAUAUAUUUUAAAAAAUACUAUGAUCCAUAUAUUUACUUAAUCGCAGAUUCACUUUUAUUUUUAUCGAAUGAGUUCAUGUAUCUGAGCAAGUUGUGACCAUAUUGUUGUUUCCACGGAGCCAAUGGGGUCAAAUCUAAUAAUUCUUUGUCCAUUUUCCAUAAGGUUAAUGAUGCAUAAAUGUAAUUAGUGUGUAACACUAAAUACGUCGGUCACAACUUGCUCACAUACAUGAACUCAUUCGAUAAAUACAAAAGUGAAUCCGGAAUUAAGCUAAUAUAUGGAUCAUAGUAUUUUUCGAAAUUAUAUUAUUCUAUCAGCGUUAUCCGGUCCGGUCAUUGGUCAAGUAAUAGGCCUUGGGGGUAGUGAUCUCGAUCCGGCCCACCUCAAAUGAUCCAUAGUGGGGUACAUCUAUACUAACAUGGGUCGUCAUAUGGUGCAAAUCUCACCAACCCAUUUCCUUAUCCUGAUUGUCCACAUAAUCAUAUAUCUUAUCCUGUAUCAACCUAGGUCUCUUAUUUAUUUAAAAAAUAUUGAGAGCACUACAGGAGGGCGACUUCCCGCAGACUCGGGUAAUUUCAGGUGAGUUGGCGUGUUCCUUUGCCAUUUUUGUUCAUUUUUUGUCCUGUACUAUCUGACUAUCGAAUCAACAAGUAAAUCUUCCCUUUAGAGGAUUGUAGAAUUUGUUUACUAGAGUGAUAUUAAUUUUUGUUUUGUUAGACAUCACAACUAAAUAUCAGCGUAAUUUAGUCUAAUCCAGUACCAGUAGGAAGGUAUUGAUAAGAUGAAAUUAUAAGAAGCCUGGGCCUUCUCUUAAUGAUUUAAAUAGCACCUGAGCAUUAUCCAAGUACAAUGCUUAUCUUUCCAAAGCAACAUUCAUUAUGUUUAAACAUUCGUUUGGAACCGGUCACAUUUACAAAUUAAAAGUGGCUUAAUGUGCCGCAGGGCUCGCCAAAUGUUCAACAUUGGGUCUGUCAGCGCUAGGUGAUCAAAACUACCGAUGGUACAAAGCAAAUAUGUCCAUCCAUGGCCAAAGCAUGCUGUAUUUAAUUUUGCACCCAAAGUUUUAAAUUUUCGUAUUAUUGUUUCUUAAAACCUUGUCUUUCUAUACUGAUCUUCUGUAUUGAUGACCUAUUUGUUAUCGUUAUCAAAGAAGUUGAAAACCAGAAAGUAACCAAUACACAAGAACACUCCCAACAUGACAAUAAAAUAUGAUUUGUGUAGAUUUAGCGUGAAACAGCACACUGGAUUUAACAAAUAAAACCACUACUAUAAACUAAUUACAAGAAUCGCUCACACCUGUAUCCUUCUAGACCAUGCCCUCAUUCUCUGUUCUAGAUUAUCGCGUCCUUGCAUAACAUUUGCUUCUAGAGACCAAAACUCUCGAAUAUUACAAGUGAAUGUAUCCCAUCCAUUGAUUGGUCCGAAAGAUCCAGCAUAAUAAUUUACCAUGAACAACCACCGUACAUAAGCCUGUCAUCAAACACCAAACCAGACCUUGGUGAAAACCUUGUUCAAAAUUAGAUUGUCAGGAAAUUUGGGUGCAAGAUAGUAAAUUUGUCUACAAUAUUUGUAAGUUCCAAUAAGAUGAGAUGGAAAUGUAAAUAAAACACACGCACAAUGUAUAUAAAUAACAAACUUGACCAAAAAUGAUGAUCAAAAAACAUGAAAGAUUGAUGGGUUUAUACCAAAAAUACAAACCAUCUGAAAUUUGCAGCGCAAAAACAUGCAUCCCAACCCAUUGAUUAAAAGAUUCCACACAAAAGUCUCUUGCGUUAACAAACUUAAGGGCAAACCCAACUGGAUCCAAAAAUCCACAUUUGAGAAGAAUCAUCCCAAAUUCUCCUCCAGCGUGAUCUAGUGGAUCAAUGAAUAGUACUGGUUCAGUGAAUUUGUAUCACUACAUUCAAAUUUGGAUCACCUAAAUUUAUUAUAAAAUAAUGAUUUUGUUAAUAUUUCAAUAUCUUUCGGUUAUCGGAUUUAAAAUUAAGUUGAUGAUUAUUAAUAUUAAAAUUUAUAAUAGUUUAUAAUUAAUAAUUAAUAAAAUUAAUGUUUUAGUAAAAAGUUAAAAUAAUAGGAAAACAAAUUUCAUUGAAAUUAAAAAAAGACUACAUUACAUGCAUAAAAUAAAAAGUACGUAAUAUGCAUAAAAUGAAAUUAUAAUAUUGGCAAAUGACUAGAAAACAGUACGAUAAAUAUAAAUUUUGAUGUGAUCAAAUAGAUUAUUUUUGUUUCCUCCGAGAUAAUCAAAAUAUUGUGCGUGACUAUUCGUAUCAUUUUGGGAUCCUUGAGCUUCAUCUUCAUUCCCUUGAUUUUGAGUUGUUGAACGUGCAUUUGGAGUACUCAAAUCACAUUUUGUAAUUGUUAUCGAACCAUCACACUUUUGGAGUAAAAAUGUAGUCCAAGAUAUAGAGACUACAUGCAUUAAUGUAAUUUGUUUAUUAAUUCAAAAUAUUAAUAGUUGUUUCUCUUUUGUAUAAAAUCAACAAAAAAAUCUUAUUUUGUUUAAUAAUAUUAGCAAUUAAGUAUAUAAUUUAAACAUUAAAUUUAAGUUUAUAUAGUUUAUUAUAAAAUUUAUGUAAUAUAAUAUACAAAAUGUAAUUUGGAUCACGCUAUUGGAGUUGGUUAGAAUUUUGGAUCAGUCAGUGAUCCAAUUUUGGAUUUUUAGAUCACAACUACGGCAGAUGAUGGCCUAAGAAGAACUCAACAAAGGAAGAAACUCUGUAGGGAUGGAGCCUGGUUGCCGAUGCUUAAAAGUAGGAGAAAAGGCACCGCAUAUCAUAAAUUGUUAAAUAUCCUCAAUAUCUAAUACCAAGCCAAGACACAUAAUGAUGUAUAUGGAUUUGUGCUUUUAACGACUAAACGUUACUCCUUUUAUCUCAAAAUAAGUGACGCUUUAAUUUUUUGGUAUAAAAAAAACAUACUUUCACAAAUCAUUUUUCAAAUUUUCUUUUUCUGAAUAAAAAUAUAGAUGUUAAAGCUUUAUUCUGAAAAAGAAAUUUUGAAAAAUGAUUUGUGUAAGUAUAUUUUUUUCCCACCUCAAAUUACGUGAAAAAAAUCAAAACGACACUCAUUUUGAGACGGAGAGAGUAUAUUAUGUUAAGUUUUUUUGAGGAUUUUAGUCGUUUUUCUUGUGAGCUUGGGGAAAAAAAAGGUUAAACUCUAUAUUGUGCAAUGUCUUAAAAAAAGUUAUAAAUGUUAGACGUGUAAUGUUAUAAAGUGAUUUUGGAUCCAUAUUUUUUUUAGACCUGAUAUUUGAGGUAUUAUUGUAUAAAAUUAUGAUAAACAGGGUCAACACAUUCAAUAGUAGUCAUUUUCUACCUUAAAACUAAUUGAGGAGCUAAAGAUAAAAUAUCAAAAUACCAUGAUUUUUAUACAUCACUUUUAAAAUUAAUGAUCAAGAAUAUUACUCUAUUUAUCUUUUUGAGAAUGAGUGACCGAUUAAUUACAAUAUUUGAUGUUUAUAAUUUUUUUAUGGAUAAUUGAUAAUAUAGAUGGUAGUAUUGUGUGUUAAAUAAACGGUAACAUAUAUGUGUGGUUAGUUGUGCGGUUCUGUAUAUGAUUAAAUAUUUUGGAUAAUGAAAAAUAGAAUUUUAAGAAGGUUAUAGUUCUGAGAGUGAGUAUUGUGAUAACCUACUGUAAAAAUGCGUGUCGGUCUUUCUAAAAAUUAAAAAGUUAAUUUAUAUGGGACAUCCAUUUUGAUAAUGAAUAUAUGGGGAUACUCAUUUUAAAAAAGCAUAUGAGACUAUAAGAGUGGUAUUUUUUACCAUCUACUUAAAAAAUGAUUUUCUUCUAAAAAAACUUUAAAAUAUGAUAUCUUUGGCUUUCACGUACCCGGACUAACUAAAUAAUCUAUCAAAUUCUUAUUGAGUAAAAAAUUUACCAUUAAAAGUCGGCUUGAUUUGAAGUAUUUCCUUAGCAUUGAGGUUGUUAGAAUUGAAGCCAGAAUUUCCCAGUCAAUUGUAUACGUUUUUUUUCACUGCUUGACACGUUUUUUAAGGUUCUUAUAUAACGUAGUUCCACAACUUAUUUUUAAAAUUUUCUUUUUUUUAUAAAAAUAUAUACAAAAAAGAAAAUCUUAAAAAUAAUUUACAGACUAUACUAUUGAAGAAUUAAAAUCCAUGCCGCGUCCGUACCCAUUUAUACUAUUGAGCGGGACGGAGAGGGAGUAGCUAAUACUCACUUUGGCUGAUUGUACACCAGCUGCUUUUCCAUUAUUAAAAGGCUUGCAUCCAAGUACAAAGGAUGUUUCAAAGUUGCCUGACCCAGAAGUGUAUAGAAGAUUUAUCGAAAAAUUGCACUAUUUGAACUCAAGUAGGUUUGAUAUUUCAUAUGUUGUUCAACAACUUUUUUAAUUAGUUUCACCAAGAACCAGCUCAUCAGCCACAUUAUGAUGUUGCUCUUCAUGUCUUAAAAUAACUUGAAAAUUUCAUUGAAUGUUGGUGUGUUUUACAAAGCUAAUACUCCUCUGCAAUUAACUGCAUAUUUAGAUGCAGACUAGGGAACUUGUUCAUUUUCUGCAAAAUCCUUGUCUGGGUAUGCUAUUUUCCGGGGUUCUUCCUUAGUUUCUUGGAAAAUUAAGAAGCAAAAAAAGUAUCUAAAAGUAGUACAGAAGCUGAGUAUAUAAGUAUGAGCUAUACAACUUCUAAGUUGAUUUAUCUUAAAGGUUUUUUAAGGGAUCUUUGUGAUCAAAUUCCUUUGCCAAUUGAUCUUUAUUGUGAUAACACUUCAGCUCACCACAUUGCAAAGAAGCAAAUCUUCCAAGAAAGAACUAAACAUUUGAAGAUUAACUGUCAUUUUAUUCUAGAUUAUGUUGAUUCUGAGUUCAUUCGAAUUUCACAUAUUAGUACUUUCAUUGAGCUAGCUGAUAUACUGACAAAGCCACUGGAUGCUGCUCAUCACAAGUUUCUUAGUAUCAAGCUUGGUCUUCAAUUUGAUCCUCUUUGAUGCCUAGCUUGAAGGGGGUAUUGAUCUAUGUACAUGUAUUGUAAAUAAAUGUUCUAGACGCUUCCAGCUACAUUUUUAUUUAGAGUAGUUACAGGAAUAUUCUAUUUGAUUGUAAAUACAGCUGAUGGAGCAACAAGUCAAUUUUAACAGUUUCAUUCUGUUCAUUCUCUCUCUAACAAACUUGAAUCACACUAAUGAAAAUCAAAUAAGCUUUAUCUUAAUAUUUUCCGCUCCCUUAAUGCGCUGAAAGUGCUAUGUGACGGGAUUUCUCUUCUCCCAAAACAGUGUGCAAUUGUUGAUUGAAAAAUAUUUAACUUUUAGGCACUAGAGGAUGAUGAAGCUUUUUGCUGAUCAACACUUGAGAGGCAGUUUCUCUGUCUCGGUACCACUAAAUACAUGCUUCAGACAAGGAUUAGAAGGUUGAUUUUAUGUUUGAUUAUGUUAAAAACUCAAAUAACUGGACACCUAACUAUUAAAGGCAGAGCUAUCAGACAACUAAAAAUUUUGAUCAUCCUUGGUAUUUGUAGGGCAAGUUGUGUCUUGGUAAGCAGAGACACAUAUCCCAAACUUCUCCAACCUUGCUAUACAUUCUGUAUUUGUAGGACAUCACCAUGUGCUACUGACUUAUUAUUUCAUUUUCAGUGUUCAAAAAACCUUCUAUAUAAACAUAGGUAUUUGUAUAUAAACCUUCUAUAUAAACCUUCUAUAUAAACCUUAUUAUUUCUGUGAUCAUAUUUACUCUGAGACCGAAAUUGAUCAAGCAUCGACCUGCAGAAGAUACUUGGCAAGGUAUAACAAUAAUGCUUCAAGUUACGAUUCUGUUUGCUUUAAGUUAAAUCUGCAGCACAUGCAUUAUUUCAUUUAUGUUAUGUCAGCUUGUCUUGUUUAUUGAGCUUGACUCAAGAAAUGAUAUUAGAAAGAAAACGUUGUAGUUAUAAUUGUCAGAUUGUAUUCAUUAUUGAGCAUUAUUUAUGAAAUGGUAUCAAAAACAUUUUCAACAAUAGCCAUUUCAGCAAACAAAUCUCCUGUAUUUCCAUCGCGAAGAUGCAUAAAAAGUGGUCAAUUUAUAAACAAUUUAUAUCUCCUAGUUAUAUCCUUUGACCGGAUUAUUUAGCUUCAAAAUGCCAGCAAUUAAAUCAACAUUUGCAUCUAAUUGUGUGUAAGAAGUAUGGCUUCCUGAAGAAAUUGAAAGCAUUAGCAAUAUACUAACUUUCUUUUGGAUUUUUUUGUAGAAGAAUUAUGUUGAUUAAAUCUUUUCUGACAGUCAACUUAUUUCCAGUGGUUUCUAUUUCUUCAUGUAUUAUUUGCAUAUACAGCAAAACAAUUAGCAGCGACGUCUAUGGAUAUAAAGAAGUUGCUGGAUAUCUAGUAGGUGAAAAAUACAUUGUCACAUGAAGACCUAAUUUGUGAACCCCGCCAUAAAAUUAUUGACAACAAAACUAAAUUAUGCCUCUAUGAAAAUUGUUGGACAUCAGGCGUCCAUUUCAAGAAAAUGUCACUUUCUGUAAUCUAUUGUGGAUGAUUUGCGUAGAGAUUGAUAAGUAGGGGCAUGCUGUCUUGCAACAGACAGAGAAGUCAUUCUAUCACUCAUAAAUUUAUGUAGCAAUUGAAAGAGAAAAUCAUGUGCUAUUGUCUAAUGCCUCCUCACUACUUGAUGUACAAAUUGAUGAACUGUUCAACAUUUUCUAUAUUUCUAUAUAAAUACACAACGGGGCAUUAGUAAAAUUCAUCACAAACGCAAUCAUCUAAAGUCUUCAUUAUCAAGUUCUUUUCUUUCUCCAUAUUCUCUAAACAAUCUAGGAGUAUUAUGGGUAUUCGUAUGCCUCGUGUUACUAAUCUCAAGAAAAUCCUUAACCAGUCAUCAUUCUUGUUAAGUCCCGAUUAUACUUCAACAGUUCCAAAGGGAUGCUUGGCAGUAUAUAUUGGGGAGAAGCAAAGAAGAAGAUUUGUGGUUCCCAUUUCAUGCCUGAAUGAUCCUGCCUUCCAAGAUCUGUUAAAUCAAGCUGAUGAAGAAUUUGGGUUCAGCCAACCAGAAGGCGGCCUCACUAUUCCCUGCUCAGUGGACACAUUCAUUCACCUUACUUCACGCCUAGAUAGAUUAUAGUGAGAAAACAUUUGUGUACUGGUAGAUAGUACAGCAUUGAAAUGUACAUAGUAGAAUAGGGAUUUUUAUCAGAUUUUUGUUGGCAACGCAUAAUUUGAAACUCACCACUUUGUCCGAUCU
This 42399-nucleotide long non-coding RNA is filed under the name Daucus carota (carrot). Its description in RNAcentral is "long non-coding RNA (DCAR_LNC001131)". Lineage: Eukaryota; Viridiplantae; Streptophyta; Magnoliopsida; Apiales; Apiaceae. The record is from RNAcentral.